AACGCACGAGACCUGCGGACCUGCGGAAGGAUCAUUACCGAGUUUACAACUCCCAAACCCAAUGUGAACCAUACCAAACUGUUGCCUCGGCGGGGUCACGCCCCGGGUGCGUCGCAGCCCCGGAACCAGGCGCCCGCCGGAGGGACCAACCAAACUCUUUCUGUAGUCCCCUCGCGGACGUUAUUUCUUACAGCUCUGAGCAAAAAUUCAAAAUGAAUCAAAACUUUCAACAAUGGAUCU
RNAcentral lists this unclassified non-coding RNA (240 nucleotides) under soil metagenome. RNAcentral describes it as "partial contains 5.8S ribosomal RNA, internal transcribed spacer 2, and large subunit ribosomal RNA". The record is from RNAcentral.